Molecule: long non-coding RNA, 791 nt
Organism: Heterocephalus glaber (naked mole-rat)
Lineage: Eukaryota; Metazoa; Chordata; Mammalia; Rodentia; Bathyergidae
Source: Ensembl
GCUAACAAGAAGAGAUUAAAACGUGUCUCUUAAUAUUCCCAAGGGACAGAAGGACCUAUGGGGACAGAAGGGGGCUGCAGGAAGCCGGCCAGAGCGUCACACAGUAAGGCUGGCCUUCGAGGAGAGGGAGGGCUGGCCCCAGCUCCCUUCCCCAGGCCUCACUGGGUGAGCCCUGCUGCGAAGGCUCCCCAGUCCCUGGCCGGCAGCCAGGCAAGCAGCAGCGGCCUCGCCAAGCUGCAUCCCGUGAUAGCCUGAGUGGCUGGCGAUGGAAAUACGCGCGCUUGGCGUUAUCUGCCUCCAGCAAGCAACAGACUUCUCCGUCCGUUAUGCGACAUGGACAAGAUUGAGGUCUCCGGACACCUGGAAUAUCCAUCUGUUUGUUCUUCCCACUCCUGACUUCUUCCCCCCUCCUCCAAGACUCUGCACUGGGUCUCUUGCUCUGCACUUCCUCUCUGCCCAUGUCCCCACUUCUCCAAACCGCCCAGCAGCAGCUAUUUCCUCCUCUACAUACCUGCUCUUCCUGCUUCAGCAGAAUUCCCAGACCCACAGGCAUCCCUCGCUAGCACCCGCUACUAGAUCCCUUUGCGCCUAGCCCUGGCUCAGCAAUUCGCCCCUUUCCCUUGAAGCCUUCUUCUUGUUCCUUUCUUUCCCACAUCAAGAGGCUGAACCAUGCAGUGGUUAAGCAUGCGGCCGCCAGUGCCGUGCCAGACUGUCUGGGUGAAUCACAGCUGCCCCACUUGCCAGCUGUGAGGCCUUGCUUGAGGUACCAAAUUGGCUGUGCCUCAAUUUCC